CUGCUGCUGAAGUUAAAAAACAACAACGACGACGACAACAACGGCAAAACCCCUCUGUCAAGCACACAAAUUACAAGAUGAUGUUGUCUUCAGACCAUUGUAUGAUGUUGUCUUCAGACCAUCAUACGAGUAUGUUUACCUCAAGUCGUCUCUGAUAUAUUCUUAGAUGAUGUUGUCUUCAGACCAUUGUUUUUUUUUUAUAAAUUUCAUUCAAUAAAAAGAAGAACCGUCUAAAAAAAGAAGCAGCAUAUAAUGGAAGAUGUUAAGGCAUUCAUGUGUUUUCAAAAGGCCAACAUUUACAGUAGGAAGUGUGGGGCCAUAUAACAUCCAAGUGCAAAGUUUGAACAUGUUAAUGGAGGACAGCAAGGUUUCUGACAAGGUAAUGGAUUCCAUAUGUAAUGUGCUUAGCAAGAAUUGCCCCGGUGUUGUACAUAUCAACUGUCGGACACUCACACAAAUAUUGGAUGGGUCUAAAAGGGCAAAGAGCCACUAUUUUCUCAAGAAUAAUAUCUUGGAAGAGGCAACAGAGGUGUUUUGUGCUUAUCUAGAAGGCGGCAAUCACUGGAGCUUUUUUGUGAGUCACCAUUUUAAGGACAACAAUUUCAAGAACAAAACAUUUUCACAUCUUUGUUCCAGUUUAUUCCUGCCUCUAUAGAAAUAUCUACCAAUAUUUUCUAUAUAGGUAAAAGAUCAUGAAACAAGGACACUUUGAUUUUUGUAUCAAGCCAUCAAUACAUUUGAAACCACAUGUCAAAAAAGCUGGUGCAGUUCUUUAACAAUUGUUUUCUGACAGAACACAAUUAUUAUAGAUUUAUAGACCGUUCUAUUAAGCAUUGGUUACAUUCCUUACUUGAGAUAUUAUAUUUGGAACUGUCUUCAACACGGACCAAUCAUGCUAAACCCGUCAUUUUGUCUGUGUGGAAGAACUGUAUCUGUUCAGUUUAGGGAGAUUUUGGACAUUUAAACCAUCUCUAUUAAUUUUGUAGUUAU
Long non-coding RNA from Labeo rohita (rohu), 990 nucleotides. RefSeq lists it as uncharacterized. The record is from RefSeq and is a predicted model, not a curated record. Lineage: Eukaryota; Metazoa; Chordata; Actinopteri; Cypriniformes; Cyprinidae. The transcript is spliced from 8 exons.